Molecule: ribosomal RNA, 253 nt
Filed under: uncultured bacterium
Lineage: Bacteria
Description: partial 16S ribosomal RNA
Rfam family: Bacterial small subunit ribosomal RNA
Source: RNAcentral
UACGUAGGGUGCAAGCGUUAAUCGGAAUUACUGGGCGUAAAGCGUGCGCAGGCGGCUUUGCAAGACAGAUGUGAAAUCCCCGGGCUCAACCUGGGAACUGCAUUUGUGACUGCAUGGCUGGAGUGCGGCAGAGGGGGAUGGAAUUCCGCGUGUAGCAGUGAAAUGCGUAGAUAUGCGGAGGAACACCGAUGGCGAAGGCAAUCCCCUGGGCCUGCACUGACGCUGAGGAGCGAAAGCGUGGGGAGCGAACAGG